Molecule: long non-coding RNA, 283 nt
Organism: Xenopus laevis (African clawed frog)
Lineage: Eukaryota; Metazoa; Chordata; Amphibia; Anura; Pipidae
Exons: 3
Source: RefSeq, a predicted model, not a curated record
CUCCCAGGGCAAUCUAUUGGGAGUGUGUCGGGGGCUGAGACAAUGUCUAGGGAUCAAUGUUUUCACUGCAUGUAGGAGACGCAAGGGACUUCCCCUGCUAGACUUUGAUUGUGAAGUUCCAAGGAGAAGAUUUCAAUGAGCCCCCUGCACAGAACACUCUAAAGGGAGAAUGACAAAAGGGGUGACUUCCUCGUACUUCACGUCUCUGUGAUUAGAAAGAUGGUGACAAGACUUUGCCUGCUGGUAGCUGCUGCCUGCUUUGCUGCAGAACUGGUACAAGGGG